UGGGAAUCCCUGUUCUACCAACAUUUAUCUGUCGCUCCAAGUGGCGAUCUGCAGGCUGGGAAGGAGUCUAGCCAAACUCACGAGUUGAGUUGGGGGUUGGGAAGAGUGAAAAGAAUGUUCCAGGCUGAGGGCGGCUGCGAGGCCGACUUAAAUCUCCGGCACCUGAGGCCGCCUCAGUUCCUGCGAGUUUCCUCCUACUGUGAACAUCAGUGCUCUGGCCUCCGUCUCCUGGCCACCUCCCUCGCGCCAUGGCCCCGAAGCGGCAAUCUGCGAUCCUGCCUCAGCCCAAGAAACCCAGACCCGUUGCUGCCCCGAAGCUGGAGGACAAGUCGGCCUCUCCCGGCCUGCCGAAGGGAGUAUGCUUCUUGCAUUCAUCUUGCGAAGUUCAUAACCCAAUCAGUGGAAUGCCCCGUGGGUCUUCUGUGGAGCAGGCUCUUGGUUCGAUGCUUGCCGUGGUCACUAGCACCAACCCUUGGAUCAGACGGUGUGGUUGAAAAAUCUUCAGUUUUCAGAGCAAGCUUCUUUCUACCUGGGAGUGGCCCAAGAAGUCAGUGUGUCUAGGUCUGUCUUGUAGGUACAAAAAGGAAAGAGGUUGGAGAGGUGGUUAAGUGCUUAAGAGCACAUUGGCCUUGCCAUGGACCUGGAUUUAGUUUCCAGCACCACCAUGGUGGCUCACAACCACCUGUAGCUUCAGAUCCAGGAGGAUCCUCUUCUGGCCUUCCUUGCACUUGGCACACUUAUAAACAUUUACAG
Molecule: long non-coding RNA, 753 nt
Filed under: Rattus norvegicus (Norway rat)
Lineage: Eukaryota; Metazoa; Chordata; Mammalia; Rodentia; Muridae
Description: long non-coding RNA NONRATT017989
Source: RNAcentral